This 685-nucleotide ribosomal RNA is filed under the name uncultured Bacilli bacterium. RNAcentral describes it as "bacterial SSU rRNA". It matches the Rfam family "Bacterial small subunit ribosomal RNA", at positions 63 to 735 of the family's 1533-position model. Lineage: Bacteria; Bacillati; Bacillota; Bacilli. The record is from RNAcentral.
AACGCUGAAGGAGGAGCUUGCUUCUCUGGAUGAGUUGCGAACGGGUGAGUAACGCGUAGGUAACCUGCCUGGUAGCGGGGGAUAACUAUUGGAAACGAUAGCUAAUACCGCAUAAGAGUAGAUGUUGCAUGACAUUUGCUUAAAAGGUGCAAUUGCAUCACUACCAGAUGGACCUGCGUUGUAUUAGCUAGUUGGUGAGGUAACGGCUCACCAAGGCAACGAUACAUAGCCGACCUGAGAGGGUGUUCGGCCACACUGGGACUGAGACACGGCCCAGACUCCUACGGGAGGCAGCAGUAGGGAAUCUUCGGCAAUGGACGGAAGUCUGACCGAGCAACGCCGCGUGAGUGAAGAAGGUUUUCGGAUCGUAAAGCUCUGUUGUAAGAGAAGAACGAGUGUGAGAGUGGAAAGUUCACACUGUGACGGUAUCUUACCAGAAAGGGACGGCUAACUACGUGCCAGCAGCCGCGGUAAUACGUAGGUCCCGAGCGUUGUCCGGAUUUAUUGGGCGUAAAGCGAGCGCAGGCGGUUAGAUAAGUCUGAAGUUAAAGGCUGUGGCUUAACCAUAGUACGCUUUGGAAACUGUUUAACUUGAGUGCAAGAGGGGAGAGUGGAAUUCCAUGUGUAGCGGUGAAAUGCGUAGAUAUAUGGAGGAACACCGGUGGCGAAAGCGGCUCUCUGGCUU